This 30-nucleotide non-coding RNA is filed under the name Homo sapiens (human). Lineage: Eukaryota; Metazoa; Chordata; Mammalia; Primates; Hominidae. The record is from RNAcentral.
UCCACACCGGCGAGAAGCCCUACCCGUGCA